CCUUCUACACUCGACGUUCAAAAUCGAACGGUCAAGCGUCAAUUGCGCAAUCCAUCGUUCAGUCAGGGUGAUCCCCACGGAAACCCUAUAUGUCCCAUGUGUGUGUUUGUUGGUGGUAUUCACAGGCUUAAUUCAAGUGGCCAUUGAACGAACGAAGCGGCGCAAUGCGCCAAUCGCGAGAAAAGCGGUCGGGUUUACCGAUCGGAUUACUCCCACGACGGGUGUUGUUUCUUUCGUGUUUACGUUGUGUUUUUACUGUUUCUUUGCUUCCC
Molecule: unclassified non-coding RNA, 272 nt
Filed under: uncultured bacterium
Lineage: Bacteria
Description: contains 16S-23S intergenic spacer region
Source: RNAcentral